CCUACGGGUGGCUGCAGUCGAGGAUCUUCGGCAAUGGACGCAAGUCCGACCGAGCGACGCCGCGUGGGCGACGAAGGCCUUCGGGUUGUAAAGCCCUGUCGCGGGGGAGCAAGCCCUCACGGGCGGAGCGAUCCCGGGAGGAAGCUCGGGCUAAGUUCGUGCCAGCAGCCGCGGUAAGACGAACCGAGCGAACGUUGUUCGGAAUCAUUGGGCUUAAAGGGCGCGUAGGCGGCCGGCCGCGUCCGGGGUGAAAUCCCUCGGCUCAACCGAGGAAC
This 275-nucleotide ribosomal RNA is filed under the name uncultured Gemmata sp. Its description in RNAcentral is "partial 16S ribosomal RNA". It matches the Rfam family "Bacterial small subunit ribosomal RNA", at positions 338 to 621 of the family's 1533-position model. Lineage: Bacteria; Pseudomonadati; Planctomycetota; Planctomycetia; Gemmatales; Gemmataceae. The record is from RNAcentral.